Nerophis lumbriciformis (worm pipefish) is the source of this 2391-nucleotide non-coding RNA. Lineage: Eukaryota; Metazoa; Chordata; Actinopteri; Syngnathiformes; Syngnathidae. The record is from RefSeq and is a predicted model, not a curated record.
CCUAUACUGUGUAAUUGAAUAUACUGUGUGUCAGUGUCGAUAAAUUUCGUAGUGCCAUUAAAUCUAACAUACUCACGACACUCCUCGAAGCCCACCUGCAGGUGAAAUUGAUGCUUUUUUGUGUAUAAACCUCUCCUGAGAAGCCUUUUAAUCCCCAACAUUAAGCAAUAUCAUUACUUUUUACACUAUUAAUUAUAACACGCUAGCUUACACGUGCUAAAAGGGCCACACGGGAGACGUGGGUGGUCACGUUAGCAUCUCUGUGUCGGUGACAACGACCACCGUCUCGUCGAGCCGUUUGUGCUUAACAACGUCACGUCAACGCUUUUGGCUUUUAUGGCGUUUUUAACAUAGACGUGGGUGUGUUUAAAUUCGUCAGGAGAUGCUCGUUAUUCCCACACAUCGCAUACUCUUUCAUGCGUCUUGGGACAGAUACAUUCUUUGAAUGGACUCUGAAACAUCGUCCUGUGCUCUAAAAAGAGACGGACUGAUUUAAAAUGUAACAAGUAUUUUUUUCUUUUACGUUGCUAAGUAUCUUAAUUUGGAUGACUCCAGUGUCACACUCUGCUGCUCUGAAUUUCCAGAGACCUUCAGAUGAUAGCUUCGCUGGAAAAAACAACUUGACAAAAUCCCAAAUCUUGUUCCGCUGAAGGGGAGAGAUCACAUUCCAUGAUGAAGGCUUAGUGCAUCGAGUCCAAACCUGCACUGCACAGGAACAAUGCUUGCAAGGGACAGAGUCAUCAGGUGCAAUCAUGGAGACAUUUAAAGGAUGCAGGCCACCGUGAAAAAACAACGAGGCGCCCUCCUCCCCCCUGACUCACCCAAAGUGAUCUCGCUUGAACGCUGACAUCAAAACAAACAGACAGACAGGAAAUAAGCUGUGGCACCGCAUCAACAAACAGCUGUCAAGCGUCCCCGCGUUACAUGACGGGCUGGGCCACAGCAGACAUUUUUUCAAAUGUGAAAAAAACUACAACAAUAUAAACUGUUGUGUUGCGGAGAGGACAUCCUGAGCUAUCAUCCUGAGCUUUCCGGUGGUGGUUUGUCCAAUGAAAUAGAAGAUCCGUCUUCCCAAAAUGGUUUUGCCUUACACACCAGCAUGUUGUGUGGGCACAAGAGAGGAAGCCAGAGGACUCAGAAAACCCCCCCAGCAAGCUCGACGAGAACAGGUCAAGUUCGAACAAGAGGUUCAACUAGAGACUAAAACCUGGAUCCGCUGACUGUCUGCCAGAUAUGAGACCACUACCAUCCUACGUGAGAUGGUCUGCACCUGGUUCCGUCAUUGGUACACCUGUGUCUUACCGCGAUCCUUGUGUCUCGUCCAAUCAGCUCUCUCCGUCCAUCCGUGCCCGGUCAAGAACUUUGCCUGGAAUGAUCCUAACCUGUCACGGUGGGGUCGCAUUUUACUGCGUGGAUUGUUCUCCCAGGAUGCAGACGGAACUCCGGAGGCAAGGUGCAGGUCCACAGCAUGAGCUCUCAGCUGCAAGAAAACAUCCACAGAUGAAGCGCACACAAUGGGCAGAACAAAUACCGAGAGUACCUACGGACACUAUUCUGGCUUUGUCUGCUUCAAGGUUUCAAGUAACCCUCAAUUCCAACCCUUGAUGCUGAGUGCCAAGCAAUCUCUCCCGGCUGGCCUGGGAACGCCUCGGGAUCCCCCGGGAGGAGCUGGACGAAGUGGCUGGGGAGAGGGAAGUCUGGGCUUCCCUGCUUAGGCUGCUGCCCCCGCGACCCGACCUCGGAUACGCGGAAGAAGAUGUAAUAUCUAAUCAAACCCCUUUGAAAAAUUAAAUGUCUUAUUAUUAUCAUUGACUAAUAUUAUUAUUUUGCUAGCUAAAAUGUUUUUGAGAGCUUUAUAAUCCUCAUGACAGACCAACAAAUAUUAACAACAAAUAUCCAGAAAGACCUACAGGUCGACGGCCGUUUUGGGGGAAAAUUGGGCCGGUUUAAUUUGUUCUUUAUUUUUUUGUGUAAUUUUCUAACCCAGGCUGUGUCACAGGCCAAUAAAAAAACAAGCUGCAAGACAGUAGGGUUGUCCCAAAACCAAUAUUUUGGUACCGGUACCAAAAUGUUUUUUGAUACUUUUCGAUACUUUUCUAAGUAAAGGGGACCACAUAAAGGCAUUAUUGGCUUUAUUUCCAGUCUGCAAAGACUCCUCCCACCCCCACCAAGGACUGUUUUCACUGCUGGACUCUAGAAAGAGGUUCCGCAGCCUCCGAAGCAGAACCUCCAGGUUCUGUAACAGCUUCUUCCCUCAAGCCGUAAGACUCUUGAACGCAUCAUCAUUAAAUUAUCCCCUCAACUCCCCCGAAAAUGGAUUAACUCGCUGGAAUAAAAAAGACAAUAUAACAUACAUCCAUAAACGUGGACGCAUGUGAAAAAGUGCAAUAU